This 1402-nucleotide ribosomal RNA is filed under the name Lactiplantibacillus plantarum. Its description in RNAcentral is "bacterial SSU rRNA". It matches the Rfam family "Bacterial small subunit ribosomal RNA", at positions 65 to 1437 of the family's 1533-position model. Lineage: Bacteria; Bacillati; Bacillota; Bacilli; Lactobacillales; Lactobacillaceae. The record is from RNAcentral.
AACUCUGGUAUUGAUUGGUGCUUGCAUCAUGAUUUACAUUUGAGUGAGUGGCGAACUGGUGAGUAACACGUGGGAAACCUGCCCAGAAGCGGGGGAUAACACCUGGAAACAGAUGCUAAUACCGCAUAACAACUUGGACCGCAUGGUCCGAGUUUGAAAGAUGGCUUCGGCUAUCACUUUUGGAUGGUCCCGCGGCGUAUUAGCUAGAUGGUGGGGUAACGGCUCACCAUGGCAAUGAUACGUAGCCGACCUGAGAGGGUAAUCGGCCACAUUGGGACUGAGACACGGCCCAAACUCCUACGGGAGGCAGCAGUAGGGAAUCUUCCACAAUGGACGAAAGUCUGAUGGAGCAACGCCGCGUGAGUGAAGAAGGGUUUCGGCUCGUAAAACUCUGUUGUUAAAGAAGAACAUAUCUGAGAGUAACUGUUCAGGUAUUGACGGUAUUUAACCAGAAAGCCACGGCUAACUACGUGCCAGCAGCCGCGGUAAUACGUAGGUGGCAAGCGUUGUCCGGAUUUAUUGGGCGUAAAGCGAGCGCAGGCGGUUUUUUAAGUCUGAUGUGAAAGCCUUCGGCUCAACCGAAGAAGUGCAUCGGAAACUGGGAAACUUGAGUGCAGAAGAGGACAGUGGAACUCCAUGUGUAGCGGUGAAAUGCGUAGAUAUAUGGAAGAACACCAGUGGCGAAGGCGGCUGUCUGGUCUGUAACUGACGCUGAGGCUCGAAAGUAUGGGUAGCAAACAGGAUUAGAUACCCUGGUAGUCCAUACCGUAAACGAUGAAUGCUAAGUGUUGGAGGGUUUCCGCCCUUCAGUGCUGCAGCUAACGCAUUAAGCAUUCCGCCUGGGGAGUACGGCCGCAAGGCUGAAACUCAAAGGAAUUGACGGGGGCCCGCACAAGCGGUGGAGCAUGUGGUUUAAUUCGAAGCUACGCGAAGAACCUUACCAGGUCUUGACAUACUAUGCAAAUCUAAGAGAUUAGACGUUCCCUUCGGGGACAUGGAUACAGGUGGUGCAUGGUUGUCGUCAGCUCGUGUCGUGAGAUGUUGGGUUAAGUCCCGCAACGAGCGCAACCCUUAUUAUCAGUUGCCAGCAUUAAGUUGGGCACUCUGGUGAGACUGCCGGUGACAAACCGGAGGAAGGUGGGGAUGACGUCAAAUCAUCAUGCCCCUUAUGACCUGGGCUACACACGUGCUACAAUGGAUGGUACAACGAGUUGCGAACUCGCGAGAGUAAGCUAAUCUCUUAAAGCCAUUCUCAGUUCGGAUUGUAGGCUGCAACUCGCCUACAUGAAGUCGGAAUCGCUAGUAAUCGCGGAUCAGCAUGCCGCGGUGAAUACGUUCCCGGGCCUUGUACACACCGCCCGUCACACCAUGAGAGUUUGUAACACCCAAAGUCGGUGGGGUA